UACGUAGGGCGCAAGCGUUGUCCGGAAUUAUUGGGCGUAAAGAGCUCGUAGGCGGCUUGUCACGUCGGGUGUGAAAGCCCGGGGCUUAACCCCGGGUCUGCAUCCGAUACGGGCAGGCUAGAGUGUGGUAGGGGAGAUCGGAAUUCCUGGUGUAGCGGUGAAAUGCGCAGAUAUCAGGAGGAACACCGGUGGCGAAGGCGGUGGUCUGGGCCGGCACUGACGCUGAGGAGCGAAAGCGUGGGUAGCAAACAGG
RNAcentral lists this ribosomal RNA (253 nucleotides) under uncultured bacterium. Its description in RNAcentral is "partial 16S ribosomal RNA". It matches the Rfam family "Bacterial small subunit ribosomal RNA", at positions 524 to 776 of the family's 1533-position model. The record is from RNAcentral.